Molecule: ribosomal RNA, 322 nt
Filed under: uncultured eukaryote
Lineage: Eukaryota
Description: partial 18S ribosomal RNA
Rfam family: Eukaryotic small subunit ribosomal RNA
Source: RNAcentral
CCCUUAGAUGUUCUGGGCCGCACGCGUGCUACACUGAGUGGAUCAGCGGGUCAGGUUGCGCGAAAGUGUUUCCUAAUCUUGAAAUCCGCUCGUGAUGGGGAUUGACGGUUGCAAUUUUCCGUCAUGAACGAGGAAUACCUUGUAAGCGCGGGUCAUCAUCCCGCGCUGAAUACGUCCCUGCCCUUUGUACACACCGCCCGCCGCUCCUACCGAUUGAGUGGUCCGGUGAGGCUUUGGGAUCUGAGCAAAGAGAGCGUUUCGCUCGUUUUGCCCGGAAAACUCAGUCGAACCUUAUCAUUUAGAGGAAGGAGAAGUCGUAACA